Molecule: ribosomal RNA, 1485 nt
Filed under: Chondrocystis sp. NIES-4102
Lineage: Bacteria; Bacillati; Cyanobacteriota; Cyanophyceae; Chroococcales; Chroococcaceae
Description: bacterial SSU rRNA
Rfam family: Bacterial small subunit ribosomal RNA
Source: RNAcentral
AUGGAGAGUUUGAUCCUGGCUCAGGAUGAACGCUGGCGGUAUGCCUAACACAUGCAAGUCGAACGAUGUUUUCGGACAUAGUGGCGGACGGGUGAGUAACGCGUGAGAAUCUGCCUUCAGGAUGGGGAUAACAGUGGGAAAUCGCUGCUAAAACCCAAUGAGCCGAGAGGUAAAAUAUUUAUAGCCUGAAGAGGAGCUCGCGUCCGAUUAGUUAGUUGGUGUGGUAAGAGCAUACCAAGACGAUGAUCGGUAGCUGGUCUGAGAGGAUGAGCAGCCACACUGGGACUGAGACACGGCCCAGACUCCUACGGGAGGCAGCAGUGGGGAAUUUUCCGCAAUGGGCGAAAGCCUGACGGAGCAAUACCGCGUGAGGGAGGAAGGCUUUUGGGUUGUAAACCUCUUUUAUUAAGGAAGAAGAAAGUGACGGUACUUAAAGAAUAAGCAUCGGCUAACUCCGUGCCAGCAGCCGCGGUAAUACGGAGGAUGCAAGCGUUAUCCGGAAUUAUUGGGCGUAAAGCGUCCGCAGGUGGCUAAUCAAGUCUGCUGUUAAAGACAGAAGCUUAACUUCUGAGAGGCGGUGGAAACUGGAUAGCUAGAGUACGGUAGGGGUUGAGGGAAUUCCCAGUGUAGCGGUGAAAUGCGUAGAUAUUGGGAAGAACACCAGUGGCGAAGGCGCUCAACUGGGCCGUAACUGACACUGAGGGACGAAAGCUAGGGGAGCGAAAGGGAUUAGAUACCCCUGUAGUCCUAGCUGUAAACGAUGAACACUAGGCGUUGCUUGUAUCGACCCGAGCAGUGCCGUAGCCAACGCGUUAAGUGUUCCGCCUGGGGAGUACGCACGCAAGUGUGAAACUCAAAGGAAUUGACGGGGGCCCGCACAAGCGGUGGAGUAUGUGGUUUAAUUCGAUGCAACGCGAAGAACCUUACCAGGACUUGACAUCUCGAGAAGCUCUAGGAGACUAGAGCGUGCCUUAGGGAACUCGAAGACAGGUGGUGCAUGGCUGUCGUCAGCUCGUGUCGUGAGAUGUUGGGUUAAGUCCCGCAACGAGCGCAACCCUCGUUCUUAGUUGCCAGCAUUAAGUUGGGCACUCUAGGAAGACUGCCGGUGACAAACCGGAGGAAGGUGGGGAUGACGUCAAGUCAGCAUGCCCCAUACGUUCUGGGCUACACACGUACUACAAUGGUUGGGACAAAGGGCAGCAAGCUCGCGAGAGUAAGCGAAUCUCAGCAAACCCAGCCUCAGUUCAGAUUGCAGGCUGCAACUCGCCUGCAUGAAGGAGGAAUCGCUAGUAAUCGCAGGUCAGAAUACUGCGGUGAAUUCGUUCCCGGGCCUUGUACACACCGCCCGUCACACCAUGGAAGUUGGCCACGCCCGAAGUCGUUACCCUAACCAAUAUGGAGGGGGAUGCCGAAGGCAGGGCUGGUGACUAGGGUGAAGUCGUAACAAGGUAGCCGUACCGGAAGGUGUGGCUGGAUCACCUCCUU